AAAGGAAUAGACGGGGACCCGCACAAGCAGCGGAGCGUGUGGUUUAAUUCGAGGCUACGCGAAGAACCUUACCAGGGCUUGACAUAUGCGUGGUAGCGAGCCGAAAGGUGAGCGACCCUUCGGGGAGCGUAUACAGGUGCUGCAUGGCUGUCGUCAGCUCGUGCCGUGAGGUGUUAGGUUAAGUCCUGUAACGAGCGCAACCCUCGUCGCUAGUUAUACGUGUCUAGCGAGACUGCCCGUGAUAAGCGGGAGGAAGGUGGGGAUGACGUCAAGUCAGCAUGGCCUUUAUGUCCUGGGCUACACACACGCUACAAUGGCCGGUACAAUGGGUAGCCAAGCCGCGAGGUGGAGCCAAUCCCCCAAAGCCGGUCUCAGUUCGGAUUGUAGGCUGCAACUCGCCUGCAUGAAGUCGGAGUUGCUAGUAAACGCGCGUCAGCAACAGUGCGUUGAAUACGUUCCCGGGUCUUGUACACACCGCCCGU
RNAcentral lists this ribosomal RNA (482 nucleotides) under uncultured bacterium. RNAcentral describes it as "bacterial SSU rRNA". It matches the Rfam family "Bacterial small subunit ribosomal RNA", at positions 903 to 1397 of the family's 1533-position model. The record is from RNAcentral.